AACAGGAUUAGAUACCCUGGUAGUCCACGCCGUAAACGGUGGGCGCUAGGUGUGGGGGAUUUCCACGUCCUCCGUGCCGUAGCUAACGCAUUAAGCGCCCCGCCUGGGGAGUACGGCCGCAAGGCUAAAACUCAAAGGAAUUGACGGGGGCCCGCACAAGCGGCGGAGCAUGUGGAUUAAUUCGAUGCAACGCGAAGAACCUUACCUGGGUUUGACAUGCACUGGAUCGCCUCAGAGAUGGGGUUUCCGUAAGGUCAGUGUGCAGGUGGUGCAUGGCUGUCGUCAGCUCGUGUCGUGAGACGUUGGGUUAAGUCCCGCAACGAGCGCAACCCUUGUUCCAUGUUGCCAGCACGUAAUGGUGGGGACUCAUGGGAGACUGCCGGGGUCAACUCGGAGGAAGGUGGGGAUGAGGUCAAGUCAUCAUGCCCCUUAUGUCCAGGGCUUCACACAUGCUACAAUGGCCGGUACAGAGGGCUGCGAAAUCGCAAGGUGGAGCGAAUCUCUUAAAGCCGGUCUCAGUUCGGAUCGGGGUCUGCAACUCGACCCCGUGAAGUCGGGGUCGCUAGUAAUCGCAGAUCAGCAACGCUGCGGUGAAUACGUUCCCGGGCCUUGUACACACCGCCCGUCACGUCAUGAAAGUCGGUAACACCCGAAGCCCGUGGCCCAACCCUUGUGGAGGGAGCGGUCGAAGGUGGGACUGGCGAUUGGGACGAAGUCGUAACAAGGUAACC
RNAcentral lists this ribosomal RNA (731 nucleotides) under uncultured bacterium. Its description in RNAcentral is "bacterial SSU rRNA". It matches the Rfam family "Bacterial small subunit ribosomal RNA", at positions 771 to 1501 of the family's 1533-position model. The record is from RNAcentral.